Molecule: ribosomal RNA, 410 nt
Filed under: uncultured microorganism
Description: bacterial SSU rRNA
Rfam family: Bacterial small subunit ribosomal RNA
Source: RNAcentral
CAGCCGCCGCGGUAAUACGUAGGGGGCGAGCGUUGUCCGGACUUAUUGGGCGUAAAGCGCGCGCAGGCGGUCCCUUAAGUCUGAUGUGAAAGCCCACGGCUCAACCGUGGAGGGUCAUUGGAAACUGGGGGACUUGAGUGCAGAAGAGGAGAGCGGAAUUCCACGUGUAGCGGUGAAAUGCGUAGAGAUGUGGAGGAACACCAGUGGCGAAGGCGGCUCUCUGGUCUGUAACUGACGCCGAGGCGCGAAAGCGUGGGGAGCAAACAGGAUUAGAUACCCGGGUAGUCCACGCCGUAAACGAUGAGUGCUAAGUGUUAGAGGGGUUAAACCCUUUAGUGCUGUAGCUAACGCGUUAAGCACUCCGCCUGGGGAGUACGGCCGCAAGGCUGAAACUUAAAGGAAUUGGCGGG